UGCUGGAACUUAACUGACGNUAAUGCGUGAAAGCGUGGGGAGCAAACAGGAUUAGAUACCCUGGUAGUCCACGCCCUAAACGAUGUAUACCGGUUGUUGCUGUGCUAGUCACGGCAGUAAUCCACCUAACGGAUUAAGUAUACCGCCUGGGGAGUACGGUCGCAAGAUUAAAACUCAAAGGAAUAGACGGGGACCCGCACAAGCGGUGGAGCAUGUGGUUUAAUUCGAAGAUACGCGAAGAACCUCACCCGGACUUGAUAUCUAACAAAUCAUCCAGAGAUGGAAGAGUGUCUGCUUGCAGAAAUGUUAAGACAGGUGCUGCACGGCUGUCGUCAGCUCGUGUCGUGAGAUGUUGGGUUAAGUCCCGCAACGAGCGCAACCCACGUCAUUAGUUGCUAACGGUUCGGCCGAGCACUCUAAUGAGACUGCCUUCGUAAGGAGGAGGAAGGUGUGGACGACGUCAAGUCAUCAUGGCCCUUAUGUCCGGGGCGACACACGUGCUACAAUGGCAUAUACAAUAAGACGCAAUAUCGCGAGAUGGAGCAAAUCUAAAAAAUAUGUCCCAGUUCGGAUUGGAGUCUGCAACUCGACUCCAUGAAGCCGGAAUCGCUAGUAAUCGUAGAUCAGCCAUGCUACGGUGAAUACGUUCCCGGGUCUUGUACUCACCGCCCGUCACACCAUGGGAGUUGAU
This 691-nucleotide ribosomal RNA is filed under the name uncultured bacterium. RNAcentral's name for it is "bacterial SSU rRNA". It matches the Rfam family "Bacterial small subunit ribosomal RNA", at positions 727 to 1415 of the family's 1533-position model. The record is from RNAcentral.